UACGUAGGGCGCAAGCGUUGUCCGGAAUUAUUGGGCGUAAAGAGCUCGUAGGCGGUUUGUCGCGUCUGCUGUGAAAACCUAAGGCUCAACCCCGAACUUGCAGUGGGUACGGGCAGACUAGAGUGUGGUAGGGGAGACUGGAAUUCCUGGUGUAGCGGUGAAAUGCGCAGAUAUCAGGAGGAACACCGAUGGCGAAGGCAGGUCUCUGGGCCAUAACUGACGCUGAGAAGCGAAAGCAUGGGGAGCGAACAGG
RNAcentral lists this ribosomal RNA (253 nucleotides) under uncultured bacterium. Its description in RNAcentral is "partial 16S ribosomal RNA". It matches the Rfam family "Bacterial small subunit ribosomal RNA", at positions 524 to 776 of the family's 1533-position model. The record is from RNAcentral.